This 467-nucleotide ribosomal RNA is filed under the name uncultured bacterium. RNAcentral describes it as "partial 16S ribosomal RNA". It matches the Rfam family "Bacterial small subunit ribosomal RNA", at positions 28 to 507 of the family's 1533-position model. The record is from RNAcentral.
GACGAACGCUGGCGGCGUGCUUAACACAUGCAAGUCGAACGGAAAGGCCCUGCUUUUGUGGGGUGCUCGAGUGGCGAACGGGUGAGUACACGUGAGUAACCUGCCCUUGACUUUGGGAUAACUUCAGGAAACUGGGGCUAAUACCGGAUAGGAGCUCCUGCUGCAUGGUGGGGGUUGGAAAGUUUCGGCGGUUGGGGAUGGACUCGCGGCUUAUCGGCUUGUUGGUGGGGUAGUGGCUUACCAAGGCUUUGACGGGUAGCCGGCCUGAGAGGGUGACCGGCCACAUUGGGACUGAGAUACGGCCCAGACUCCUACGGGAGGCAGCAGUGGGGAAUAUUGCACAAUGGGCGGAAGCCUGAUGCAGCAACGCCGCGUGCGGGAUGACGGCCUUCGGGUUGUAAACCGCUUUCGCCUGUGACGAAGCGUGAGUGACGGUAAUGGGUAAAGAAGCACCGGCUAACUACGUG